CGCCUCUUGUUAAUAAUAAGAGGUCCAGCCUGCCCAGUGACAAAGUUCAACGGCCGCGGUACCCUAACCGAGCGAAGGUAGCAUAAUCACUUGUUCUUUAAAUAAGGACUUGUAUCAAUGGCACCACGAGGGUCGUACUGUCUCCUUUCUCCAAUCAGUGAAACUGAUCUUCCCGUGAAAAAGCGGGAAUACACAUAUAAGACGAGAAGACCCCAUGGAGCUUUAAACCUCCAGCAACUUAACUAUAAAUUUCUUCACAACCCCAAAGAAAUGCUUGUUGGUUUUAGGUUGGGGUGACCACGGAGUAAAAACCAACCUCCGCAACGCAUAAACCUAAAUUUUUAUUUAAGAGCCACAACUCUAAAAAAUAGUAUACUAACGUACACUGAUCCGAUAAUCGAUUAAUGAACCAAGUUACCCUGGGGAUAACAGCGCAAUCUAUUUUAAGAGUUCAUAUCGACAAAUAGGCUUACGACCUCGAUGUUGGAUCAGGGUAUCCCAGUGGUGCAGCCGCUACUGAUGGUUCGUUUGUUCAACGAUUAAAACCCU
Molecule: ribosomal RNA, 549 nt
Filed under: Liuixalus hainanus
Lineage: Eukaryota; Metazoa; Chordata; Amphibia; Anura; Rhacophoridae
Description: partial 16S ribosomal RNA
Rfam family: Bacterial large subunit ribosomal RNA
Source: RNAcentral